GACGAACGCUGGCGGCGUGCUUAACACAUGCAAGUCGAACGGAAAGGCCCUGCUUUUGUGGGGUGCUCGAGUGGCGAACGUGUGAGUAACACGUGAGUAACCUGCCCUUGACUUUGGGAUAACUUCAGGAAACUGGGGCUAAUACCGGAUAGGAGCUCCUGCUGCAUGGUGGGGGUUGGAAAGUUUCGGCGGUUGGUGAUGGACUCGCGGCUUAUCAGCUUGUUGGUGGGGUAGUGGCUUACCAAGGCUUUGACGGGUAGCCGGCCUGUGAGGGUGACCGGCCACAUUGGGACUGAGAUACGGCACAGAAUACAACGGGAGGCAGCAGAGGGGAAUAUAGCACAAUGGGCGGAAGCAUGAUGCAGGAACGCCGCGUGCGGGAUGACGGCCUUCGGGUUGUAAACAGCUUUAGAGUGUGAAGAAGAGUGAGUGACGGUAAUGGGUAAAGAAGCACCGGCUAACUACGUG
Molecule: ribosomal RNA, 468 nt
Filed under: uncultured bacterium
Lineage: Bacteria
Description: partial 16S ribosomal RNA
Rfam family: Bacterial small subunit ribosomal RNA
Source: RNAcentral